This 292-nucleotide ribosomal RNA is filed under the name uncultured bacterium. Its description in RNAcentral is "partial 16S ribosomal RNA". The record is from RNAcentral.
GGACUACCGGGGUUUCUAAUCCUGUUUGCUCCCCACGCUUUCGUGCCUCAGCGUCAGUUUCUGUCCAGCAAGGCGCCUUCGCCACUGGUAUUCCUCCACAUAUCUACGCAUUUCACCGCUACACGUGGAAUUCCCCUUGCCUCUCCAGCACUCAAGUUAUACAGUUUCCAAGGCAUUGCCAGAGUUGAGCCCUGGUCUUUCACCUCAGACUUGCACAACCGCCUACGCACGCUUUACGCCCAGUGAUUCCGGACAACGCUUGCCCCCUACGUAUUACCGCGGCUGCUGGCAC